This 253-nucleotide ribosomal RNA is filed under the name uncultured bacterium. RNAcentral's name for it is "partial 16S ribosomal RNA". It matches the Rfam family "Bacterial small subunit ribosomal RNA", at positions 524 to 776 of the family's 1533-position model. The record is from RNAcentral.
UACGUAGGCAGCAAGCGUUGUUCGGAAUUACUGGGCGUAAAGCGUGUGUAGGCGGUGUUCUAAGUUUGUCGUGAAAUCUCCCGGCUUAACUGGGAGGGUGCGGCGAAAACUGGAAUGCUAGAGGAUGGGAGAGGUAAGCGGAAUUCCUGGUGUAGCGGUGAAAUGCGUAGAUAUCAGGAGGAACACCUGUGGUGUAGACAGCUUACUGGACCAUUUCUGACGCUGAGACACGAAAGCGUGGGUAGCAAACAGG